This 511-nucleotide ribosomal RNA is filed under the name uncultured bacterium. RNAcentral's name for it is "partial 16S ribosomal RNA". It matches the Rfam family "Bacterial small subunit ribosomal RNA", at positions 355 to 859 of the family's 1533-position model. The record is from RNAcentral.
UGGGGAAUCUUGGACAAUGGGGGCAACCCUGAUCCAGCAAUGCCGCGUGUGGGAUGAAGGCCUUCGGGUUGUAAACCACUUUUGGCGGGGGCGAAAUAUCGAGUGCUAAUACCAUUCGGUGAUGACGGUACCCGCAGAAUAAGCACCGGCUAACUACGUGCCAGCAGCCGCGGUAAUACGUAGGGUGCAAGCGUUAAUCGGAAUUACUGGGCGUAAAGCGUGCGCAGGCGGUUAGGUAAGACAGGUGUGAAAUUCCCGGGCUCAACCUGGGAACUGCAUUUGUGACUGCCUGACUAGAGUGCGGCAGAGGGGAGUGGAAUUCCGCGUGUAGCAGUGAAAUGCGUAGAUAUGCGGAGGAACACCGAUGGCGAAGGCAACUCCCUGGGCCUGCACUGACGCUCAUGCACGAAAGCGUGGGGAGCAAACGGAUUAGAUACCCUGGUAGUCCACGCCCUAAACGAUGUCGACUAGUUGUUGGACGGGGUUACUGUUCAGUAACGAAGCUAACGCG